This 1500-nucleotide long non-coding RNA is filed under the name Setaria viridis. RNAcentral's name for it is "long non-coding RNA (SVIR_LNC006205)". Lineage: Eukaryota; Viridiplantae; Streptophyta; Magnoliopsida; Poales; Poaceae. The record is from RNAcentral.
GUCCGCCGAGCUCUUGGCACAACAACCGAUCACAAGAAGCACGCUGUUUAUUCCACGGAUCUAGCAGCACCAGAGCAUCUUAAUUUUAUUCGACGCUUCCGCGACAGCUCAGGCGGCGGAGGGCGGCGGUGGGAGUGGGAUGCCGGCGACGGUCUUCUUGAACGCGGGGCGGGCGGCGAUGUCCUCCCACCAGGCCUUGACGUGUGGCCUCUCGGCGACGAGGCCCGCCUUGGGUGUCUUGCUGAGGUAGAACAGGUAGGACAUGUGGUUGGCGUCGGCGAGCGUGAACUCGUCGCCGGCGAGGUACUUGUUCUUCGCAAGGUGGUCCUCGUAGAUGUCGAGCACCUUGGCGAGCUGGUGCGCGUGCUUGUCCACCACCAGCGGGUCGGGGGCGCCGCCCAUCAUGGGCUUGACGAGGAGGUGGUACACCAGCGGGGAGGCGUUGGGGUAGAAGUGGUGCGACUCCACCUCCAGCCACACCUCCAGCUUCGCCGACGGGAUGGUCGGGAGGAGGUCGGCGCCGUCCGACUUGUACUUGGUCGCGAUGUACCGGUUGAUCGCACGGGACUCUGCAUGCGAUGUGUUCUCAGAACUUCAGAUUCGGAAAUUUGGUGACUCAUCAUAAGGCUGACACGCGCGAGCAUCAACGCCAACAGAGGUUGGAACAGAUGGACAGCAGCAGUAGAAUUCAGUCUCGUUUUGAUCAAAUCAAUUCUACGAGUGGAAACGUGAUAGGUUGUUUGAGCUGUUAUGCAGCUUAGCACCUACUCCACGGGAGGAAAACGACAUUGAUGUGUACAGCCUGGAGAUAUUUUUGCUUUCUGAUGAAUGAAAUCCAAGCGGGUCAACCAUCUUUUUUUUUUUAAAAAAAAGGAACGACCAAGGUAUAACGAAGAUACUGUUCCUAGAUCUGGGGAUGGAUCUAGUGCUUCAUUUUUUAAAAUGACCGAGUAGUUCCUAAUAUAAUCAACUACUAUACGCACGGGAAGAACGAGCAGUGAUGUCAGUUACGUACCGUAGAGGACUUCAUCCCCGUCCUCCAGCGCAGGGAUCUGGCCGAAAGGCUGCGAACAGGGAGGGAAGCCAUAGAUCAGGGGACAGCAAAAUCACAGGCAUGCCGUGCCGCCUGCAGCGUAAGAAAUGGAAAUCGAAGGAGGACAGGCGCGUACGUUGAGGGCGAGGAACUCGGGCUGCUUGUGGGCGCCGGUGGUGAGGUCGACGGGGACGACCUCGAAUUCGAGGCCCUUCUCGUUGAGCACGGUGGCCACGCGCACCACGUUGGGGGACAGCGGCAACCCGUACAGCUUCAGCGGUGCCAUCUCCCGAACCUUUCCUCCUCCUCCGAUCCGCUCCUCUCUCUCGUCGUUGGGCAAGGCAAGAGCAGGUCAAGUCAGCCGCACGCGUCCACACUGUGAUGGCCGACGGAUGGAUGGGUAGAUGGGGGAAGAAGGCGCUGUUUCUUAUAGACAGGACAGCGGAGCGGAGGCGACGGGUCCGCGC